Octopus sinensis (East Asian common octopus) is the source of this 851-nucleotide long non-coding RNA. RefSeq lists it as uncharacterized. The record is from RefSeq and is a predicted model, not a curated record. Lineage: Eukaryota; Metazoa; Mollusca; Cephalopoda; Octopoda; Octopodidae. The transcript has 3 exons.
AAAGAGAGAAGAAGGGGGAGAGAGAAAAGGAAAAGUAAAGACGGGUAGAGAGGAAGAAAGCAGUUACAGAAUAAUGGAAUGAAGGAAUGGACAUAAGAAGAUGAACUUAAGACCAGAAAUAAAAUGGAAAAAAAAGGGAGGGGGAAGACCAAAAUUACAAACAAGGAAUAUAACAGGAGGAGAAGGAUGAGAAAGAGGGGGAAGUGGAGGAAGGGGAGGAGUCUAGGCGACAAGGGAAGGAAAAGAGUGAAGCAGUUCGGAAAUCGAACGAACGCGAGUGGUAGCGUUAAGCAGAAUGACAGAAUAGCAGGAGGAUGUGUUCGAUAUUUGGAAAAAAAAUCAGGUAAAAAUAAACCAGCAAAUAAAAAAAAGCAAAACACGAGAAUGAAUGGAUGGGAGGCAAUUCUUGUGGCGAAGAGCAAAGGAGGAAUUUCUGUAAGGAAGGACAUAGCACCCACGUUCGCUCUCUUUCUCUCUUUUUUCUUUCCUUUUUCCGUGUGGAUUUUGACAGAAUAUAGGAAUGUGGAGGAAAAACACCACGUGAGCCGCUGUGAAACCAGCCAGUUUUUCUGACCACCCCUCCAGAACUCCUUCUCCCUGGCAUUGAAGCUACAGAUUUUGGACGGACAUAGUGAGCACAUAUGUAGUGUCUCUGAUACACAAUUCUGCCUGGAUAUACCUCAUCUUUGGAUACACUGUUUUUUUUCCUCUUCUGGAUUUACUCAUCCUGUUUCUUCUGAUAAAUUGUAUGGAAAGUGUAACCCUGUUUUCCAGAGGACAAAAUAACAUUCUUUCAUCUGGAAGGAAAAAAAAACCCAAAAAGCCAAACAUCUUUUAUACUCAACACCCAA